UCAGCAGCCUAAUGGUAAUUUAGGACAGGAAGUGAGCAGGGACUGAACAUGUCAGCUAUUCACGGCUUGAGGUCCACAGCUGACAUAAUAAGCGGAUGUGUUCCUGUGGAGGGCGUGAUUGUGUAUUUUGUUCCUGUACUCGGAUCUAUUAGAUUGUUGAUUGAUUAAUGAUAGACUGUUUAUUGGUCUCAGUGGAUUAGUGAUCCUGUAGCAGUGUGAGUUUGGACUUUCUCUGCACUCCCUCAAAGCCAUGCACAUACACACUGUUUCAGUAUGGUCUCGCCUGAUGGCCAUUCCAGCAGUGCGGAUGUGGUUUCAACAAUUUAUCCUGCACUUUCCAUAAAUUCACACUCACUGCGCGAGACGCGAGAAAGAUACUUGAGACGCUUGGACUCAAAGCUGCCUUUGAAGAUGAGAAGACCUUCUUCUGGAGCCCGAGAGACACGAUGUGUUAGCACGACGUCAAUAAGAGAUAGAACAAAAUAGUUUUAUAUUAAAGAUACAUGAAAGUCUAAUGUCGGCCACAGAAGAAGCCAUGGAUGAAGAUUGCUGUGAUUCUCAACGUUAACAUUAUCUCAUCAUGGAGCCACUGAGUUGGACCACUGAUCCGCAGUGCUGGAGCAGGAAGAGGAAUAGAGCUACAGUAAUGUAUUGGGAAAAUAACCUAAUAUUAAUACUUCACUGUAAUUUUCAUGUUUUCACUGAAAAAUUCAUGCACUGCUUAUUCAGUUAUUUUAGUCACAUUCCACUUUAAAACUAUUUAAUGUGCAAAACAGGAGCUCACAUGAACGAGUGCAGCAGGGGUUUUUUUGCAGACAUUCAGGACCAAAUGUAUUGUAAAAGAUAACUCGGUUUGUGAGGUUUCAUGUAUAUUUCUAAUCCAUCUGCAGUCCCUUUUUUAACGCGAUAAUAUUCUAUAAUACAUUACAUGCGCACGUGCUUUGAGUAGUGUUUCGAUACUCUCUGCUAUAACAUUUGCCUUUAAAUCUUCUUGACAUCCCUGUUUCUAAUUUGUCCAUCUUUGCCCGUUCUCUUGAUAUGUCUGUUAAAUUGUACCAGAUGUUCUGAAUGGUUUGCUUUAAUCAGAUCUGGAUCUGGGUUUCACUUCUGUGUUUUGGAUUAUUGGAUUGGAUUACAGUGUACACUGACGUUCUAACUGCCAGCGGUGGACAGUAAUGAAGCUAUUUAUUUUUCAGUUUCUCACAGUUACAUUCACUUCAGGAAAACACGCUCCAACUUCAUGCACUGCAACUUCACCACCAAUCAGCUGGACAAUCCUACGCCAUUGCUUUUCUAUAUUUAAAGCCUCUACACUGCUAUAAGCCCAUAACUGGCUAUAAACCAGCUGCAAUUGUUAAGUAUGAAGAGGAACUACAAAAAAACAAGCAAAACAAGGAACUCCUACCAUGUGCCGCGCUGCCGCUUUGCCUGCGUCUCAUAGGGUCUGUGAUCAAUAGUGCCACAGCAAGCAGCGCGCGCGGCGAGCCCAUUACUGUCACCGUGAC
This is a long non-coding RNA of Silurus meridionalis, 1505 nucleotides long. RefSeq lists it as uncharacterized. The record is from RefSeq and is a predicted model, not a curated record. The transcript has 3 exons. Lineage: Eukaryota; Metazoa; Chordata; Actinopteri; Siluriformes; Siluridae.